This is a long non-coding RNA of Phyllostomus hastatus (greater spear-nosed bat), 728 nucleotides long. RefSeq lists it as uncharacterized. The record is from RefSeq and is a predicted model, not a curated record. NCBI's taxonomy places the organism in Eukaryota, Metazoa, Chordata, Mammalia, Chiroptera, Phyllostomidae. The transcript is spliced from 2 exons.
CUGGCUUUGCAGGUUUGGUGGGUGGGGUCAGCCUCUCUCUGGGGCGCAGUUUUGAACAGGGUACGUGGGAGCCGCUCAUUCCACAGCCAGGUGCGGGGCUGAGUAGGCACUUGUUCGACGGGUCUGCAGAGCAGAGGCACCAACCCAGAGGCGGACGGCGGUGGUUCAAGAUGGAGAAGCUGCUGUGCUCCGCAGGGUCGCUCAGGGACCCAGGUUUCCUCUGUGCUGUCGCUGUCCCUCAUCUCCUACUGUUAUCCUCUCCCGCACGGCUGCAGCUGGGACAGCAUCUCAUCUGUGUCCCAGUGCGAAAAGGGGCGAGUUCAGCGAAGCCCAUGCCCAGGGUUCUAUGGCCAAGGCUUAGAAGUUGAACACAUCACUUCCACUCGCAGACCGUUGCCUGGAAUUAAAUCUCAAGGAUACAUCUAGCUGCAAGGAAUGCUGGGAAAUGUAGUCUUCAGCUAAAGCACAUGUCCUAAUCUAACACUCAAUAAUUAUAGAGGAAGGGGAGAAGAUAUCUGGAGGCAUAACUAGCAAAUUAUCACAUUCUUUUUUCUGGCUUUAGUUUUCCCAAAACGGGUGUCACUAAAGACAUUAUGCUGGGUGCUCCAGGGGUGGGGAGAGGUGACAAGCAGUAAGACGCAGAGGAGGGAGUCUGCGGUGGGAGGAGGAGCCUGUCCACUGCCCUGCUGCUGGGUAAUAAAGCGCCCGAAGGCUGUGUUCAACAGUGA